AUAAGGAAUGGCGACUUGGUUUGGGCAUGGAAAUUGAGAAUGCCAUGAAUGUAUUCAGCAAGAUCUUGUCGAAAUGAACCAGAGGAAGGCGGAAAAGAGUUGCCCAAGAUCCCAGCCGAGUGGGCAUGUUCCACAUAUAUAUCAUUGCUAAGGCCAAGAUUAACUAGAGCCCGAUAUACACCUUGCAUUGCCGGGAGGAGGUUAUUCAUCAUCAUGUGCAACAUAUAUAUCAUUGCUAAGGCCAAGAUUAACAAGAGCUCGAUAUACACCUUGCAUUGCCGGGAGGAGGUUAUUCAUCAUCUGUGUAUCGUUCCCCGUUAAGAUCUCGUUCCCAACAGUAAUACAAGUGAUUUUAGUCUGAGUAUGGUAAGGUUGAACAUGCGAUUGGAUCCAAGCCUGAGCUUGUUGAGGAUCAGUCAUUCUUUGUAGGUACUCAUUUCCAAGUCCAAUAACGAAUUCCACAUCCGUGUUAGCAAAUGCGCUUAAUACGUUUGGAUCAGCGUCAUAAAGUUUUACUCUCGUAACAUUGAUAGAUCUGAGG
This 541-nucleotide long non-coding RNA is filed under the name Nicotiana benthamiana. RNAcentral's name for it is "long non-coding RNA (NBEN_LNC017762)". Lineage: Eukaryota; Viridiplantae; Streptophyta; Magnoliopsida; Solanales; Solanaceae. The record is from RNAcentral.